AACCCGACUACACGAAGCUGGAAUCGCUAGUAAUCGCGAAUCAGAAUGUCGCGGUGAAUACGUUCCCGGGUCUUGUACACACCGCCCGUCACACCAUGGGAGUCGGGAAUGCCCGAAGUCAGUGACCCAACCUUUGGAGGGAGCUGCCGAAGGCAGGUCUGAUAACUGGGGUGAAGUCGUAACAAGGUACC
RNAcentral lists this ribosomal RNA (191 nucleotides) under uncultured bacterium. Its description in RNAcentral is "partial 16S ribosomal RNA". It matches the Rfam family "Bacterial small subunit ribosomal RNA", at positions 1309 to 1500 of the family's 1533-position model. The record is from RNAcentral.